UAGGAUUGAUAAGACGACCCU
This 21-nucleotide non-coding RNA is filed under the name Arabidopsis thaliana (thale cress). Lineage: Eukaryota; Viridiplantae; Streptophyta; Magnoliopsida; Brassicales; Brassicaceae. The record is from RNAcentral.